AUACGGAGGAUCCAAGCGUUAUCCGGAUUUAUUGGGUUUAAAGGGUGCGUAGGCGGUUUAGUAAGUCAGCGGUGAAAUUUUGGUGCUUAACACCAAACGUGCCGUUGAUACUGCUGGGCUAGAGAGUAGUUGCGGUAGGCGGAAUGUAUGGUGUAGCGGUGAAAUGCUUAGAGAUCAUACAGAACACCGAUUGCGAAGGCAGCUUACCAAACUAUAUCUGACGUUGAGGCACGAAAGCGUGGGGAGCAAACAGGAUUAGAUACCCUGGUAGUCCACGCAGUAAACGAUGAUAGCUCGUUGUCGGCGAUACACAGUCGGUGACUAAGAGAAAUCGAUAAGCUAUCCACCUGGGGAGUACGUUCGCAAGAUUAAAACUCAAAGGAAUUGACGGGGCCCGCACAAGCGGUGGAGCGAUGUGGUUUAAUUCGACGCAACGCGCAG
This 441-nucleotide ribosomal RNA is filed under the name uncultured Rikenellaceae bacterium. RNAcentral's name for it is "bacterial SSU rRNA". It matches the Rfam family "Bacterial small subunit ribosomal RNA", at positions 523 to 966 of the family's 1533-position model. Lineage: Bacteria; Pseudomonadati; Bacteroidota; Bacteroidia; Bacteroidales; Rikenellaceae. The record is from RNAcentral.